Molecule: ribosomal RNA, 511 nt
Filed under: uncultured Actinomycetes bacterium
Lineage: Bacteria; Bacillati; Actinomycetota; Actinomycetes
Description: bacterial SSU rRNA
Rfam family: Bacterial small subunit ribosomal RNA
Source: RNAcentral
GGGCGAAAGCCUGAUGCAGCAACGCCGCGUGCGGGAUGAAGGCCCUAGGGUUGUAAACCGCUUUCAGCAGGGAAGAAAAUGACGGUACCUGUAGAAGAAGGUGCGGCCAACUACGUGCCAGCAGCCGCGGUGAUACGUAGGCACCAAGCGUUGUCCGGAUUUAUUGGGCGUAAAGAGCUCGUAGGCGGUUCGGUAAGUCGGGUGUGAAAACUCUGGGCUCAACCCAGAGAGGCCACCCGAUACUGCCAUGACUAGAGUGCGGUAGGGGAGUGGGGAAUUCCUGGUGUAGCGGUGAAAUGCGCAGAUAUCAGGAGGAACACCAGUGGCGAAGGCGCCACUCUGGGCCGUAACUGACGCUGAGGAGCGAAAGCGUGGGUAGCAAACAGGAUUAGAUACCCUGGUAGUCCACGCCGUAAACGUUGGGCACUAGGUGUGGGUCUCAACCAACGAGAUCCGCGCCGUCGCUAACGCAUUAAGUCGCCCCGCCUGGGGAGUACGGCCGCAAGGACUA